RNAcentral lists this ribosomal RNA (2099 nucleotides) under Cothurnia sp. Its description in RNAcentral is "SSU rRNA". It matches the Rfam family "Eukaryotic small subunit ribosomal RNA". The record is from RNAcentral. Lineage: Eukaryota; Ciliophora; Oligohymenophorea; Sessilida; Vaginicolidae.
GCAUGUGUAAGUAUAAGUAUUAUACGGCGAAACUGCGAAUGGCUCAUUAAAACAGUUAUAGUUUAUUUGAUAAUCGAAAGUUACAUGGAUAACCGUGACAAAUUACAGCUAAUACAUGCAUUCAGACCUGGCACAAGGGUCGCAAUUAUUAGAUAUUAAAUCUCUUCCUUCGGGAGUGUGACGAAUCAUAGUAAUCGAGCGAAUCGCACAAUUGUGCGAUAAAUCAUUCAAGUUUCUGCCCUAUCAGCUUUGGAUGGUAGUGUAUUGGACUACCAUGGCAGUCACGGGUAACGGAGAAUUAGGGUUCGAUUCCGGAGAGGGAGCCUGAGAAACGGCUACCACAUCUACGGAAGGCAGCAGGCGCGAAAAUUGCCCAAUCCUGACACAGGGAGGCAGUGACAAGAAAUAACUACCCCGGUUUUUUCUGGGAGUGUAAUGAGGAUAAUUUACAAACCUUCCCGAAAGCAAUUGGAGGGCAAGUCUGGUAGACUUAAUAUAUAUUGCCAGAUGUCGAAUCAUAAGAAUAGUACUUCUUGCAGAUUUACUCUUAUGUUUCGGCAGAAAGUUGGAGAUGAGAACCAACUGUACAGUUGUAAAAUGCGGGAAACUCCUAAAGCCUAUCCUACCGCGGUGCCAGCGACAACAAGCUUGCAUGCAGCAGAUGGAGCAAUGUCCAUCGGAUGGUAAAAACGGAUAGGAUGGUCAGCCCACUUAUAAAGACCGCAAUGGACAAUCCGCAGCCAAGCUCCCUGCAAGGGAGAAGGUUCAGAGACUAUAAUCGACUGGGCGCAAGCUUAAGGGAUAGUCCACUCCCACCUCGAAAGGGGUGCCUUGAUGCUAUUAAGGAUACUCAGUCCCUAGGGUGUCAAGGAUCCGCUAGCUAUGCUUAAACUCUGAGAGGAAAUGCUUAGAGAAGGAUGGUAUGCAGGGCCAGCAGCCGCGGUAAUUCCAGCUCCAAUAGCGUAUAUUAAAGUUGUUGCAGUUAAAAAGCUCGUAGUUGAAAUUCUGAUUGCUAGGAUGACCUGUCUUCGGACGGUUAUACCUACAAUCAUCCGCUUGUAAACAUAAGUUCACUCUUCACUGCGUGCCUAUGUGAGCAAGCAUUUUACCUUGAGAAAAACAGAGUGUUCCAGGCAGGUAUGUCCGGAAUGCAUUAGCAUGGAAUAAUAGAAUACGACUGAAGUCUAUUUAUUGGUUUAGGGCUACAGUAAUGAUUAAUAGGAACAGUCGGGGGCAUUAGUACUUGACAGUCAGAGGUGAAAUUCUUGGAUUUGUCAAAGACUAACUAAUGCGAAAGCAUUUGUCAAGGAUGUUUUCAUUAAUCAAGAACGAAAGUUAGGGGAUCAAAGACGAUCAGAUACCGUCCUAGUCUUAACUAUAAACUAUACCGACUCGGAUUCAGAUGAAUUGUAAAGUUCAUUUGGGACCGUAAGAGAAAUCAAAGUCUUUGGGUUCUGGGGGGAGUAUGGUCGCAAGGCUGAAACUUAAAGGAAUUGACGGUUUUGCACCACCAUGGAGUGGAGCCUGCGGCUUAAUUUGACUCAACACUGGGAAACUCAUCAGGGCAAGAAGAUUGUAGGAUUGACAGAUUGAGAGUUCUUUCUUGAUUGGUCUAGUGGUGGUGCAUGGCCGUUCUUAGUUGGUGGAGUGAUUUGUCUGGUUAAUUCCGUUAACGAACGAGACCUUAACCUGCUAACUAGUACAGUUAUCUCCAAUAGCUGUUACUUCUUAGAGGGACUAUGUGUUGUAAACACAUGGAAGUUUGAGGCAAUAACAGGUCUGUGAUGCCCUUAGAUGUCCUGAGCCGCACGCGUGCUACAAUGACACAUUCAACGAGUAUUUCCUGAUCCGAAAGGAUUUGGGUAAUCUUUUUAGUGUGUGUCGUGUUAGGGAUAGAUCUUUGUAAUUAUGGAUCUUGAACGAGGAAUUCCUAGUAAGCGCAAGUCAUCAGCUUGUGCUGAUUACGUCCCUGCAAAAUGUACACACCGCCCGUCGCUAUUGCCGAUUGAGUGCUCAGGUGAACCUUCUUGAUUGUCGCAAGACGAAAAAUUAAGUAAACCUUAGCACUUAGAGGGAAUAAAAGUCGUAACAAGGUUUCC